ACAGCCUGUGGGCUACGGGAACGCGAUCCGACUCGGCGGCCCUCCCUGCCUGGAUGGCCGGUCCCCGAGGCUGAGGAAGUGCAUUCCUCUUUCGGAAAUGGUCCCCAGGAAGCUUCUCCGUGUCCCCCUAUGGCCGGGCGAGUCUCCCGGGCCCCGAGAGGAGGGGGUGACUGGCCAGGGUCAUCGGCAGCGGCGGCAGGGGCCUGCAUAGGGCUGCCUCGGGGCGACUAGCAGGAUGGCCGCAAGCCUCGGCUGCCCCAGCCCCCAGCGCAUGGAAUGUGCCCCGGGCCCCAGGAGCACCAGGAACCGCGCUUGUGAGACGGAGCUUGGGCUGCUUGGAGCUAGUGAGCCACCGGCCACGGCAGGGAUUUGAGCAGAACUUGGGGGCAGAGGGAUGAGAUGGUGCAUCCCUUGAGGUCACUUCAGGAGAUGACACUCCUGUGGCUAAGUGUAGCUUCCCAGGUCAUGGCUCCCAGGUCAGGCCUGGUCAAUGGAGAAUUAAGUGGGCGUUGGGUGGUGGAUGGAUGUGAUUUGGCAGAGGGGACAAAUGUGACAACAGUGUAAUAAGGGCCAUGUUGGGGAGGGUCAGGGGUCAGGGUCUGGCCCAACCUGAGCAGAAGGGAGGCUGCUCUCAGGGAUAUUUGUCAGGUAGGAAUGGGUGGAGUGGAACUACAGGGCCACCAUGUUUCCCAUGGGUCAGCCAUGGUGGCCUUGUCAUGUUUAUCCGUAAUCCUCAGUGUUCUCUGUGGUCCUCCCGUCACCCCUUUCAGACUGUCCUUUCAGUUCUCCACUGUCCCUGCAUCACCUCUGCCCCUGUCCCAUUUGUCUGUGUUCAGUCCAUGUUCCCAGGUCUUGAGGUGGCCCCUGGUUCUAUGCCCCUUACCUAAGACCCUGUGCAGGGAAUCUGUGAAAACACAGAGAAAAUAAAAAGUGAGGAAAAUACUACUCUUGCAUCCUCGA
This is a long non-coding RNA of Pan troglodytes (chimpanzee), 960 nucleotides long. RefSeq lists it as uncharacterized. NCBI's taxonomy places the organism in Eukaryota, Metazoa, Chordata, Mammalia, Primates, Hominidae. The transcript is spliced from 2 exons. The record is from RefSeq and is a predicted model, not a curated record.